RNAcentral lists this ribosomal RNA (253 nucleotides) under uncultured bacterium. RNAcentral's name for it is "partial 16S ribosomal RNA". It matches the Rfam family "Bacterial small subunit ribosomal RNA", at positions 524 to 776 of the family's 1533-position model. The record is from RNAcentral.
UACGUAGGGUGCGAGCGUUAAUCGGAAUUACGGGGCGUAAAGCGUGCGCAGGCGGUUUGUUAAGUCAGAUGUGAAAGCCCCGGGCUUAACCUGGGAACGGCAUUUGAAACUGGCAGGCUGGAGUGCGGCAGAGGGGGGUGGAAUUCCACGUGUAGCAGUGAAAUGCGUAGAGAUGUGGAGGAACACCGAUGGCGAAGGCAGCCCCCUGGGCCGACACUGACGCUCAGGCACGAAAGCGUGGGGAGCAAACAGG